GACGAACGCUGGCGGCGUGCUUAACACAUGCAAGUCGAACGGUGAAAGCUGGAGCUUGCUCCGGCUGGAUUAGUGGCGAACGGGUGAGUAACACGUGAGCAAUCUGCCCUUGACUCUGGGAUAACUCCGAGAAAUCGGUGCUAAUACCGGAUAUGACCCUUGGCGGCAUCGCUGGGGGUGGAAAGUUUUUCGGUCAAGGAUGAGCUCGCGGCCUAUCAGCUUGUUGGUGAGGUAAUGGCUCACCAAGGCGACGACGGGUAGCCGGCCUGAGAGGGUGACCGGCCACACUGGGACUGAGACACGGCCCAGACUCCUACGGGAGGCAGCAGUGGGGAAUAUUGCACAAUGGGCGCAAGCCUGAUGCAGCAACGCCGCGUGGGGGAUGACGGCCUUCGGGUUGUAAACCUCUUUUAGCAGGGAAGAAGCGAAAGUGACGGUACCUGCAGAAAAAGCACCGGCUAACUACGUGCCAGCAGCCGCGGUAA
Molecule: ribosomal RNA, 485 nt
Filed under: uncultured bacterium
Lineage: Bacteria
Description: partial 16S ribosomal RNA
Rfam family: Bacterial small subunit ribosomal RNA
Source: RNAcentral